This 314-nucleotide ribosomal RNA is filed under the name Hospesneotomae protracta (western bloodsucking conenose). Its description in RNAcentral is "Triatoma protracta (western bloodsucking conenose) partial 16S ribosomal RNA". The record is from RNAcentral. Lineage: Eukaryota; Metazoa; Arthropoda; Insecta; Hemiptera; Reduviidae.
UCCUUCUGUUUAUUUAUUUAAGGUCUGACCUGCCCAAUGAGGAAUUGAAUGGCCGCAGUAUUUUAACUGUGCUAAGGUAGCAUAAUCAUUUGUCUUUUAAUUGAGGGCUGGAAUGAAAGGUUGGACGAGAUAUUAACUUUCUUUAGUUUAAUUAUAAGAAUUUAAUUUUUUAGUCAAAAAGCUAAAAUUUAUUUGUUGGACGAGAAGACCCUAUAGAUCUUUAUAAUUUUAUACUUUAAUAGUGUAGGGAAUAUUCUUUUUUGAAGUAAAUUAAUUAUUUUGUUGGGGUGACUGUAGAAUUUAAUUAACUUCCA